AGCUAACUUUGGACAGGUGUCACAAUCUCAAGGAACCACGUGUCACCUCGUAAUUGGCCUUCAGUGAAGCAGGUAGUGGAGUUGAAGGAGCCAAUGAAUGGUUGACACCUGGGGAGGGAUCUUCAGAGAGGAGUGCGUUUCUGUUGAAGAGUAGCAGGCCAGCUGCAGGUGGAAAGGGGGUGGUGUUUUGGGGGGAGAGGGUGUUUUUUCAGCUGUGGGAGAGGAGCUUUUUAGAGAAAGAGAGUUGCAGAGAGGUUUUUUUUUGAGUUUGGGCUGCAGAUAGGGAGGGGAGGUGCCCUUUUUGCUGUGGAGGAGGAGAUAUUUUCAGCUAGGAGAUAGAGACUUUUGAGGGAGAUUUUCUUUUCUCCAGUGAGAUUCUUGAAGCUGCAGAGUGAGAGAGAAAAGGAGUUUUCUCAGGUAUGUUCGCCAAACCAUGCUUUGAUCGUCAUUGAUAUCUUCUGGGUUAUGGUGCUAUGCAUAACACAUGUUUGGUUCUUCAUAUGAAAUUUGAUUAAGAAUGAUCUAACUCUUCUUUAGUUCUUUUUGUUUGUCUGUGUCAUAUUCCUGGAUCUUGCUUUCAUCUGAUUCUUCCCACCCAUCCAUUGGAUGCUCUGUUUCUUUUUCUUCUUUUCUUUAUGCUUGUCCCUUUCAUGGUUUAUUCUCUAUUCUCGGUGGCUGUUUACACCUACAAGAAUAAGGGUUUGGCUAUCAUGGCCUUGGGAUUUCAUAAAAGUUCGGUUCCUGAAUUUGAGUAAAUGCUGUCUCAUUGCUUAUGGAGUCGCUUGGUGGCUCUCCUCUGAAUUAGCGGUUACUAUAUCGGGUGACUUGCAAAGAUGGACAUGACGGAGGAUUUUUGAAGCUUCUCUGCAAGUCCUUCGGAGGUUUAUCACUGAUAUUGUAAUGACCGGGUAUUUUAUGCCACGUUAGCAAUUUUAGUUUGAAAAGUCUUAAUUUAUGUGAUGGUUGAAAAGUCAAAAAGAAAAGCGUUUGGAGAACACGUGUCAAUUUCGGAUUGGUGAAUUUCGUUUUAUUGCGUCGGUCAAUUAAACGAGUUGAAAUUUUAUGCCAUGUCAGCCUUAGGAUAGAAAAUUCUUAGGAUUUUAGAAAUUGGAAAUUUACGGGAACGAAAAACGAAAACGAAAAAUGAAAAAUAAAUAAAUUAAGAUUAAUUAGAAUUAAUUAAGAAAAAUAAAUUAAUUAAUUAAAGUAAAUUGAUGAAUAAUAAUAUUAAGAAAAUUAGUUUUUAUUUGGUGUUAAUAAAUAAAAUUGUGUGUUAAAAUGAAAAAAAAAAUGAAUUGGAAAUUAAAUAAAACAAUUAGAAUAAAGAAAAGAAAAGAAAAUAAAAGAAAAGAAAUAAUAACAAUAAUAAUGGAUUGGGCUUAGUUUUUGAGUUGGGCUUGGAGCAAGUGGGCUGGUGGUUUUUUUUAAAAAGCCAUGUGAAGUGGGCUGGGCUGUUAGUAAAAAGAAAAAGAAAAAAAAAAAGGAAAAGGGUGAAAAUUGGAAAAGUGCAGCACGCGGGAGAGAGAGAGAGAGAAAAGGGCACUGUUCAUAAAUUAGGGCACUUGCCGGAAUUUUGAUCGGACGUUUGAACGGCCAAACGAUCUCCGUUUCGGCCCAAAUUCGGAGGAAGUAUUCUAUUCGACUAGACGAACAAGCCUGCGGUGGCUGAUUUUGUUUUUAACGGCUAAAUUUUCAGAUCUGAGAUGCAGAUAUCUCUCCUGAGGAUCCACAGGUGGGACAGGGAGGACUUCAGGAUGCUCCUGGAGAGGCCUAGUGGAGCGUGACAUUUAUUUGUUAUUGUGUUCCUUUUUGGAUUUUGGGGAUUUGUUUUAGCAAUUAUGACUCAUGGAUUUGCUAUGAAGCUUUAUUUGAUUAAGUUGUUAAUUGAGAACUUUUAUUUUGGACUAUAAUGAAUAUUUAUUUAAUCUUGUUGUUUUGAGUA
This is a long non-coding RNA of Vitis vinifera (wine grape), 1942 nucleotides long. RefSeq lists it as uncharacterized. Lineage: Eukaryota; Viridiplantae; Streptophyta; Magnoliopsida; Vitales; Vitaceae. The record is from RefSeq and is a predicted model, not a curated record. The transcript has 2 exons.